UGCGGCUGGAUCCCCUCCUUUCUAGGGAGACCUAGAACGUCGACCGGGCUCCCCGAUGGCUGUAUGCCAUCGGGAACGCUGCUCAGUUUUGAGAGACCGUCGGUGGAAGAAAUCCAUCGCGCGCGCCUCGGUGGACCUUGAAAACUGCACAAGGCUAUAUGGGUAAAUUUAAUUUCGAACCCGACCGCUUCGGCGAUCGGGUUCACACCGUCAAGAUGUUAAGGGCUUACGGUGGAUGCCUUGGCA
RNAcentral lists this unclassified non-coding RNA (246 nucleotides) under uncultured Actinomycetes bacterium. RNAcentral describes it as "uncultured actinobacterium partial contains 16S ribosomal RNA, 16S-23S ribosomal RNA intergenic spacer, and 23S ribosomal RNA". Lineage: Bacteria; Bacillati; Actinomycetota; Actinomycetes. The record is from RNAcentral.